This is a small RNA of Aureimonas sp., 115 nucleotides long. It matches the Rfam family "EcpR1". Rfam says of the family: Perviously named SmelC291, SmrC10, or Sra33. The record is from Rfam. Lineage: Bacteria; Pseudomonadati; Pseudomonadota; Alphaproteobacteria; Hyphomicrobiales; Aurantimonadaceae.
UUCCCCAUGGAAUGCUCAGGUCCGCCGCAUCUCCUGGGUCCCGUGGGGCGGUCGGCCGGCAGCUGGUCAUACGCGGUAUCCUCGUGCCGCGAUCGGCGCGCCGGCCGACCACUUU